Long non-coding RNA from Pseudophryne corroboree (corroboree frog), 530 nucleotides. RefSeq lists it as uncharacterized. The record is from RefSeq and is a predicted model, not a curated record. The transcript is spliced from 4 exons. Lineage: Eukaryota; Metazoa; Chordata; Amphibia; Anura; Myobatrachidae.
GUCCUGCGAUGUAUCUUCCCAAGUGGCGUGGAUGUGAGGAGACACGACAUUUCACCUGAUGUUCCAUGGGUGACCCUACUGGUGAUGUGGACCUGACCCUCCGCCAUGUAGCAGACAACCCCCCCUCAGGUCCUGCGAUGUAUCUUCCCAAGUGGCGUGGAUGUGAGGAGACACGACAUUUCACCUGAUGUUCCAUGGGUGACCCUACUGGUGAUGUGGACCUGACCCUCUGCCAUGUAGCAGACAACCCCCCUCAGGUCCUGCGAUGUAUCUUCCCAAGUGGCGUGGAUGUGAGGAGACACGACAUUUCACCUGAUGUUCCAUGGGUGACCCUACUGGUGAUGUGGACCUGACCCUCCGCCAUGUAGCAGACAACCCCCCUCAGGUCUUCCGGUGUAUCCUUCCUAAGUGGUGUGGAUGUGAAGAGACAGUUCCCUUGAUGUUCCCUGGGCAAUCUACUUACGUACAAUUCAAAUGCAUUACAAAUUUUAAUAAAAACCACAGGAAACUUCUAUUUUUAAAAGUUUAUU